RNAcentral lists this ribosomal RNA (301 nucleotides) under uncultured bacterium. RNAcentral describes it as "partial 16S ribosomal RNA". It matches the Rfam family "Bacterial small subunit ribosomal RNA", at positions 509 to 807 of the family's 1533-position model. The record is from RNAcentral.
CAGUCGCCACGGUAAUACGUAGGGUGCAAGCGUUAAUCGGAAUUACUGGGCGUAAAGCGUGCGCAGGCGGUCCGCUAAGACAGAUGUGAAGUCCCCGGGCUUAACCUGGGAACUGCAUUUGUGACUGGCGGGCUAGAGUAUGGCAGAGGGGGGUAGAAUUCCACGUGUAGCAGUGAAAUGCGUAGAGAUGUGGAGGAAUACCGAUGGCGAAGGCAGCCCCCUGGGCCAAUACUGACGCUCAUGCACGAAAGCGUGGGGAGCAAACAGGAUUAGAUACCCCCGUAGUCCCUGUCUCUUAUAC